CUCUUCGGAGGUCAGCGGCGGACGGGUGAGUAACACGUGGGCAACCUGCCUGUAAGACUGGGAUAACUCCGGGAAACCGGAGCUAAUACCGGAUACUAUGUCAAACCGCAUGGUUUGACAUUCAAAGACGGUUUCGGCUGUCACUUACAGAUGGGCCCGCGGCGCAUUAGCUAGUUGGUGAGGUAAUGGCUCACCAAGGCGACGAUGCGUAGCCGACCUGAGAGGGUGAUCGGCCACACUGGGACUGAGACACGGCCCAGACUCCUACGGGAGGCAGCAGUAGGGAAUCUUCCGCAAUGGACGAAAGUCUGACGGAGCAACGCCGCGUGAGUGAUGAAGGUUUUCGGAUCGUAAAACUCUGUUGUCAGGGAAGAACAAGUGCCGGAGUAACUGCCGGCACCUUGACGGUACCUGACCAGAAAGCCACGGCUAACUACGUGCCAGCAGCCGCGGUAAUACGUAGGUGGCAAGCGUUGUCCGGAAUUAUUGGGCGUAAAGCGCGCGCAGGCGGUUUCUUAAGUCUGAUGUGAAAGCCCCCGGCUCAACCGGGGAGGGUCAUUGGAAACUGGGAAACUUGAGUGCAGAAGAGGAGAGUGGAAUUCCACGUGUAGCGGU
Molecule: ribosomal RNA, 615 nt
Filed under: Bacillus pumilus
Lineage: Bacteria; Bacillati; Bacillota; Bacilli; Caryophanales; Bacillaceae
Description: bacterial SSU rRNA
Rfam family: Bacterial small subunit ribosomal RNA
Source: RNAcentral